AUUGAACGCUGGCGGCAUGCUUUACACAUGCAAGUCGAACGGCAGCGCGGGCUUCGGCCUGGCAGCGAGUGGCGAACGGGUGAGUCCUGCAUCGGAACGUGCCCAGUCGUGGGGGAUAGCCCGCCGAAAGCCGGAUUUAUACCGCGUACGACCAGAGGUUGAAAGUGGGGGACCGAAAGGCCUCGCGCUAUUGGAGCAGCCGAUGUCGGAAGAGCUAGUUGGUGGGGUAAAGGCUUAGCAAGGCGACGAUCCGUAGCUGGUAUGAGAGGACGACCAGCCACACGGGGACUGAGACACGGCCGAGACUCCUACGGGAAGAAGCAGUGGGGAAUUUUGGACAAUGGGGCCAACCCUGAUCCAGCCCUGCGGCGGGAGGGAAGAAGGCCUUCGGGUUGGAAAGUGCUUUUGUUCGGGAAGAAAUACUCUGGGCUAAUACCCCGGGGGGAUGACGGUACCGGAAGAAUAAGCACCGGCUAACUACGUG
RNAcentral lists this ribosomal RNA (484 nucleotides) under uncultured bacterium. RNAcentral's name for it is "partial 16S ribosomal RNA". It matches the Rfam family "Bacterial small subunit ribosomal RNA", at positions 29 to 507 of the family's 1533-position model. The record is from RNAcentral.